AUUCAAGAAGUUGUUCCUUCUCUGUUUGUUUUCAUGGGGAAUUUUUGUUCUCAUCCUUGCAAUCUUUCCUUUCAUUCAUUUUCAAGUCUCAGAUUACAGUUUGGAAAGCUAGGGAAAAUGAUUGCAGCACAUCCAAGGCUAAAAGAGCAUAGCCUGUUUCUAUUUAUUCCAGGUCCUGAUGAUGCAGGUCCAUCAACGGUACUACCUAGGUGCGCUUUACCGAAGUAUCUAACUGAAGAGCUUCAGAAGUACAUUCCAAAUGCCAUAUUUUCAAGUAAUCCUUGCAGGGUCAAGUUCUACACACAAGAAAUUGUAUUUUUUCGAUAUGAUCUGCUGUAUAGGAUGCGUCGUUCAUGUUUGAUGCCCCCUUCUACAGAGGAGACUGCUGAUCCCUUUGAACAUCUGGUCGCUACCAUAAC
RNAcentral lists this unclassified non-coding RNA (419 nucleotides) under Hevea brasiliensis (rubber tree). The record is from RNAcentral. Lineage: Eukaryota; Viridiplantae; Streptophyta; Magnoliopsida; Malpighiales; Euphorbiaceae.